This 822-nucleotide small RNA is filed under the name Pan troglodytes (chimpanzee). Its description in RNAcentral is "retained intron". Lineage: Eukaryota; Metazoa; Chordata; Mammalia; Primates; Hominidae. The record is from RNAcentral.
UACCGCUUCCUCACUCCCUUCACCUCCAUGAAGCUGAGGGGGCCGGUCCCACGCAUGGACGGCCUGGAGGAGGCCCACGGCAUGUCGGCUGCCAUGGGACCCGAACCGGUGGUGCAGAGUGUGCGAGGAGCUGGCACGCAGCCAGGACCUUUGCUCAAGAAGCCAUACCAGCCAAGAAUUAAAAUCUCUAAAACAUCAGUGGAUGGCGAUCCCCACUUUGUUGUGGAUUUCCCCCUGAGCAGACUCACCGUGUGCUUCAACAUUGAUGGGCAGCCCGGGGACAUCCUCAGGCUGGUCUCUGAUCACAGCGACUCUGGUAAGUUCUACCUUCCGCUGCAGCAUCUGGGCAAGGACCAGGUAGGUACUGCAUCCCCCUCUGUUCUUCAGAUGGAUGUCCAGUGAUCCAAGGGCCACCUUAUAGACGCUCAGUGAGUAUUGUCAGUGGUUAAGGGAAGCGCACUGCGCUCCUGGACUUACGCAUCCGACUCCCUGCUUUGUGACAAGUGCCGUGUGGCCUUGGGCACAUGCCUUGGGAGUUGUUUCCCUUGUAAAAUGGAGAUAGGAACACUCUCUUGGCCUCACAGAGCUAAUAUAAAGUGGAUCAAAUGAAACUGGUUAUGAAGUUGUUUUUUAAAUGCUCAAGUGCUUUAGAAAUCCGCUAUGUAGGCUGGGCGCGGUGGCUCAUGCCUGUAAUCCCAGCACUUGGGGAGGCCGAGGCAGGUGGAUCACCAGAGGUCAGGAGUUCAAGACCAGCUUGGCCAACAUGGUGAAACCUCGUCUCUACUAAAGUUACAAAAAAAUUAGCCCGGCAUAGUGGUGGGC